AAGUCCUGAGAAUAGCAUCUUUUCUCUGAAGCAUGUGAGUCAUAGUUUUUCACUGGGAUCAAUAACUCCUCUCUGUCUUCUGGAAAUUGUGACUUCAUUCAAGUCCCUAAAUUGUGGUAGUCAUCACAAUUAGAUAUUUAUCCAGUACCAGAAUCUCCAGAAUGUUUUUCUUAGAGUUACUGUUUCUGUCAUGGAUUCCACUGAGAGUCUCUAUGAGGCUAAGCCCCAUUUUG
This 233-nucleotide long non-coding RNA is filed under the name Homo sapiens (human). RNAcentral's name for it is "non-protein coding lnc-RAPGEF2-4:1". Lineage: Eukaryota; Metazoa; Chordata; Mammalia; Primates; Hominidae. The record is from RNAcentral.